Molecule: RNA transcript, 1889 nt
Organism: Macaca mulatta (Rhesus monkey)
Lineage: Eukaryota; Metazoa; Chordata; Mammalia; Primates; Cercopithecidae
Source: RefSeq, a predicted model, not a curated record
GACAAACUAGAACGGCAAAAUUACACUCAGGCACACUGGAGUACUCUUCCCUCAAAUCCCUCCACAGAGCACUUCAUCAUUUGCUCCGCCCUCUAAUAACUCAUGCAAGAAAAGUUCAGCACCAUCAGAGAGAAACAAGACAGAAUUCAGAGAAUGGCUUUAGGGCCUUUCCUCCAGGCGGUAAGAGGAUCUGCGUGUGCCCUUCGCAGGGGUCCAAAGGGAGAGAACAACCUAGGCCUAGGGUUUCGGGGAUACUGACACCCAGAAACAGAUUUUCUCUCAAAGAAGUUUCUGCCGCCAUCCCUAUCUUAUCAGCAGGAGGCCCCGGCGCCAUCGUCUCCGUCUUUAUGAUUUUAUUAUGGGGAGGUGGGAAACGCCACCCAGGAUUCCUCCAGGCCUCCCCGAUUCAGCUUCGGGGUCCCCCUCAUUCUUCCCUCUAAGCCGCAGUCCCCGGGUCCUCCUCGGCACCCCCGCUUCUGGCGGCCUAUCCCCCGGGAAGUGUACGGGCACGGCCGAACCCACCGGCCUCGCCGUGAAGGCGGGAGGGCCCGAACCCGCCAGGGCCACGGCGAUGGCUCCGAGGGGCCCGGAAAGGGGAAGGGCAGGCCGGGGACCGGGGCAGGAUGACCUGGCCGGGGAAGAAAGGAAAACGGAGGUGAGGAGACGCACCGCCCCGCAGGGCUGCACCGAGAAGGGAGAUGAUGAAGGAGGAGGAGGAGGGCGGUGGCCCGGGUGCGGCCCCCCACUCCUCCCGCCCCCGGGUCCCCGGGCCGGCGGGGGCGGCGGACUCGGCCCAUUCCCAGGUCUGGGCUGGCGGGGGGCUGGGGGAUCUCCCUCCACACUACUAGGAGACAGAGAACGAGGGUCUCGGGAGCGCGGGGGCUGUCUCCCGCCUGAACCCGGAGACCCCGACGCCGUCGUCGCCUCUUCCUCAGGAGGGAGGACGGGAGCUGUGGGUAAAGCCCGAAGGAGGAAUGCCUGAAGGUGAGGGGAAGCCCGGGGCAGACCCGCCGCCCGCUCCGGACCCCCCCCUCCACCUUCCGGUAACCGCGUCUCUUACCGGUGAUGGCGGUGAACUGUUGAAUUAACCCCUUCAGCGCCGAGGACGCCGCGGAGCCCCCGUGGGCAGCCAUCUUACCGCCGCCGCCGCCGCCGCCGAACAACAACACAGACACACACGGACCGCCCUCCCCCACCUCGCCGCGCGGUGUGCGCAGGCGCAUUGACCGCCCCUCAAGCCCCGCCCCCAAGCCCCGCCCCUCCCGGCCCCCUCCAGAGGUCUGCGCAGGCGCACUUGCCCACCGGGCCGGAGCGCUACCCGCUCUCCGGUUGGCUGCUCGGUUGCUGCCUGCCCGGUGCAUCGUUUUUGCCACUGCUGGCGCUUUCCUCUCCGGGCUCCAAGGCUAGUCUCGCAGGCGCAGUGUCGAUUCCUACAUUCCGAAGGAAGCUUCCGUCUUGGCAGAUAUUUCGCAUUUCAGCUUCGCGAGCUUUAUUGACAGGGCCAACUCCGGUAACGGUAUUUUUUCUGCUUCGCAGUUGCUCCGCGCUCUGUUAGGUCCCAUCAAAAUACAAACCCUGCCUCCUCGCUUUGAAGCGACUCUCCCCGACCCCGCCCCCCAGCCUCUAGACUAAUGGCUCAGCUCACCGACUGUGGCGAGUGAAAUUCCAGAACCCUUCAUGCCAAAGAAAGCACCUAGCGCAGGGUUGACACCCAGUGGGUUUUCAUCAGCGAUUAUUUAGUCUGCUUUCCUUAAAUAAAUCGGCCAUCACGUCUCCCGUUAGCGUCUUAGUGAGACCCCAAGAGGUGUCAUGUGUAUAAAAAGAAACUCUGUAUAUGCAAUAGAGUUGAGAAGACAUAUAGAAAGGAGACUGGAAAAGUGUGCUCAAAA